This 253-nucleotide ribosomal RNA is filed under the name uncultured bacterium. RNAcentral's name for it is "partial 16S ribosomal RNA". It matches the Rfam family "Bacterial small subunit ribosomal RNA", at positions 524 to 776 of the family's 1533-position model. The record is from RNAcentral.
GACAGAGGCCCCAAGCGUUAGGCGGAAUCACUGGGCUUAAAGCGUGUGUAGGCGGACGCCUAAGUGUCUUGUGAAAUCCCACGGCUCACCCGUGGAACUGCUGGGCAUACUGGGCGUCUUGGGCCAACUAGGGGCAGCCGGAACAAGCGGUGGAGCGGUGAAAUGCGUAGAUAUCGAGAGGAACACCAGUGGCGAAGGCGAGUCCCUGGACAACACCUGACACUGAGGCACGAAAGCUAGGGGAGCAAACAGG